UUUCUUCGCUCGUUUGGUCAGCAGCAGCAGCAGCAGCGCCUAUAGUGCGAAGCAGCUUAUGCACACAUAUAUACAAAACGGAGCAGUAGUGGCAGCAGCUCGCAACAACAACAUAAGCAGCUCGUUCUCCGCCGCAGCUGUUGUGGGCUUUAUACACGCCGACCGCUCUACGUGCUCCUUUUAAUUUCUGUUUUACUUUUUACGUUCUCGACGCUCGUUCGGUCUAUCGCGAAAUCGCUUUAAACCCGAAGCAUCGAGCUCCUCGAAGCAGUGCCGAGUGAUAAGUUUUCCAGGCGAAUCCCGUGCAAUACAGGCUCCUCUGCCACAAUUUGUCCUUCGCACACUCGCACGGGGCAGGUGGUGAUUUUUCCCCACCAUCAUCCUAUUCUCUUUCUCUCUGUGUCAGUGUAUACUAUACAGAUAUAAAGCAUAUAUACCAUAGCCUAUGUAUACGUGCGUGUCCUCUCCUUAGUGUAUUGUAACUGGAAAAUUCGUUCUGUACAAAGACUUCGAUCUUGAAUGCCACUGAGCUCAUGCACGCUCAUGGAGAGCAGUAAAACUCGCGCACAUAUUACCUGUUGCCAUCGUCUUUCGAGUGAAUCAUAGCAGUUUUCGAGAUAUGCCUCAUCGGCCUCGCUGACAGAUGAUCAUUUUUACACUUUUAUAGUACAUUUUUUACCUAGUGUUACUUUAGACGAUAUUCAUAAUGUGUGACUCGGCGGACCCUUCGCUUAUCCAAAAGCUAUCUUACCUGCGUUUCGACGAUGACGUUCCAAGAGUUACUGGAUCCAGACCCGAAGCACAGGUACCAGUGAAAAAAUCAGUUGGUGCCAUCGAGAGUUUUUUAGAGAGUGAUAAUCAUCAACAUCCAGAAUACAAAAUGUAUGAGAGAGAUAACUUGAUAGCUUCAUCCAGAUUUGCUACACCAAAAGCAGUGGAACAAUUAGAUGAUAGAGAGAAGAAAGAUUCUCCAGUUUAUGAAAAUAUUGACUACCAUUCCCAACAUUCAGGACAAAAUUAUCCUCCUUACUUUCAUGGAGUGGAAAGAAGAAGAUCCAUACAAAGUCCUAGAACAUCUAUAGCAGGGGAUCAUUAUGAUCCUAAUUACAAGCAACAGGCUUGUAUGAAUGCUCCAGACGGACUUACUUUGUUAAAAAAAGCUCAACCUCAAGUACCUACAAGCAAUCGUUAUCAAACUGCAUCACCGGCAAAAGAACUACCACCAUAUGAAGCACCACCAGUUUAUGAAAAUAUUCAGGAUGUUCAAUAUGCGACAGAAUCCAAUAAACCCAAAGCUAAGCCUCAAGUUCCCACUAGUUACUACAAUUCUUUGAAUCUUAAUGGUGGUGAUUAUGUAGUAAUGACAGGUAAAGGAACUUCUGCGUCAAAUCAAAAAUCAGCUCUAUCUCUGCAAGAGAGUUUAAAUCGUUUACAAAAUUAUGAUCAUCUAUUACAAAGAUCCUACGACCAAACUCUUUGUAAUAAAUAUUUAACGUCAGCUAUAGAUCAGCUUAACAAUAAGAGUACCUAUGUUCCACCUUCAGAACUUCAGCAACAUCAAAACUAUGCUUAUGAACAACAGCCUCAGUCACAGUUUCACACUCGGGUUAAUUCCUCAUAUCAUCCAGAAUCGUCAACUGCUCACUAUCCUAAUGAAACACCUCAGCAGCAACAGCAAUACCAGCAUUAUCGCAAUGCAACUAUUGAUACACCUAGUCAACGUAAUCAUUAUCGGCAAGAAGAAAUUACAUCUGGUAAACAAUACACAGAGCAGGGACCUAUGAGUGCUAAUUCAAUGAAUGCCACUUAUUAUAAUGAUGCCCACUCACGAAGCUUGCCAGCUGCUUUUAAUGCUCCAAGGCCUUCUGAUCAACUCAGCAGAAACGUUCAUUGCUAUUCGCCAAGCCGUUCCGUUCAAAACAAUCAACAAACACAUCAUUCGGACUCUGGUACGUCAAGCCCAAGUCAUUAUCCAGCCUCGGAGCAGACGUCUUAUUCACCUAGUCCGUCUAAUGAACGUUCUAUGGAUCAACCAGCCGAAACACCACGGAAAUCAGUUCAAUUCGCAUCACGAGUAAGCUAUCCACGAAUUGCAUCUCAGGAAGUUGUAUCUCGAGUUCAACAAACCCCACGAACAUCGGAUGAUACGCUAUCGUACGGGCCCCGUAUAACAAGUUUACCUCCUGGAGUGACAAGUGGCAUAGCUGGUCCAGUAACUAUGAGCGAUGGAGUGCCACAAAUAAAGAAACAUUUCGAUCUAGAUUCUACACCGUCAAAUCCCCCGGCGAAACCUAUAAUGGGUAAAGGGCUUUUGCCCUUCAAUGUAACGUCUCGUUCAUCGGGACCAACUGAAGCGGAAAGAAAAAUAGAAGAAUUGACUCGGCAGUUGGAAGAAGAAAUGGAAAAACAAGAAGAAAAAGGCGAAUACUUUGGUAUUUGUCACACCUGCCGGCAAAAAGUGACUGGCGUCGGCCAAGCUUGUCAAGCCAUGGGUAACUUAUACCACACUAAUUGUUUUAUUUGCUGUUCUUGUGGACGAGCAUUGCGAGGCAAAGCUUUCUACAACGUCGAUGGACGAGUCUACUGCGAAGAAGAUUAUUUAUAUUCUGGAUUCCAACAAACUGCUGAGAAAUGUGCUAUUUGUGGCCAUCUGAUCAUGGAAAUGAUUUUGCAAGCAAUGGGUAAAUCAUAUCAUCCCGGCUGCUUCAGAUGCUGCGUCUGCAACGAGUGUUUAGACGGAGUUCCAUUUACUGUUGACAUAGAUAACAAGAUAUACUGCGUUAAUGAUUAUCACAGAAUGUUUGCACCUAAGUGUGCUUCAUGUGGUAAAGGAAUAACGCCCGUUGAGGUAAACGAUAUCGAAGGUACCGAAGAAACCGUGCGAGUAGUUUCAAUGGACAAAGAUUUCCACGUUGAUUGUUAUGUUUGCGAAGAUUGUGGUAUGCAAUUAACUGAUGAGCCAGAUAAACGAUGCUAUCCAUUGGAAGGCAGAUUGAUGUGCCGAGCAUGUCACAUUCAACGUAUUUCCCAUACGCAGCCCCGAGCACCACAGCCAGUCUCUGCUACUUAUCAAUUCAUGGGUUAAAACAUUUUAGAUAAUGUUUGAAUAUGGGUUAACCUUUAUCACUACGUUAUUGAAGGCCUGCAGCGGCACUCAGCUGCGGUAGCUGGUCGAGCCACGCAUGCGUCCGCGACACGUAAAAGGGAGGCUAAGUGG
RNAcentral lists this unclassified non-coding RNA (3217 nucleotides) under Trichogramma pretiosum. RNAcentral's name for it is "lIM domain-containing protein jub, transcript variant X1". The record is from RNAcentral. Lineage: Eukaryota; Metazoa; Arthropoda; Insecta; Hymenoptera; Trichogrammatidae.